GACGAACGCUGGCGGCGUGCUUAACACAUGCAAGUCGAACGGAAAGGCCCUGCUUUUGUGGGGUGCUCGAGUGGCGAACGGGUGAGUAACACGUGAGUAACCUGCCCUUGACUUUGGGAUAACUUCAGGAAACUGGGGCUAAUACCGGAUAGGAGCUCCUGCUGCAUGGUGGGGGUUGGAAAGUUUCGGCGGUUGGGGAUGGACUCGCGGCUUAUCAGCUUGUUGGUGUGGUAGUGGCUUACCAAGGCUUUGACGGGUAGCCGGCCUGAGAGGGUGACCGGCCACAUUGGGACUGAGCUACGGCCCAGACUCCUACGGGAGGCAGCAGUGGGGAAUAUUGCACAAUGGGCGGAAGCCUGAUGCAGCACCGCCGCGUGCGGGAUGACGGCCUUCGGGUUGUAAACCGCUUUCGCCUGUGACGAAGCGUGAGUGACGGUAAUGGGUAAAGAAGCACCGGCUAACUACGUG
This 468-nucleotide ribosomal RNA is filed under the name uncultured bacterium. Its description in RNAcentral is "partial 16S ribosomal RNA". It matches the Rfam family "Bacterial small subunit ribosomal RNA", at positions 28 to 507 of the family's 1533-position model. The record is from RNAcentral.